Molecule: small nuclear RNA, 192 nt
Organism: Takifugu rubripes (torafugu)
Lineage: Eukaryota; Metazoa; Chordata; Actinopteri; Tetraodontiformes; Tetraodontidae
Gene: U2
Rfam family: U2 spliceosomal RNA
About the family: U2 is a small nuclear RNA (snRNA) component of the spliceosome (involved in pre-mRNA splicing). Complementary binding between U2 snRNA (in an area lying towards the 5' end but 3' to hairpin I) and the branchpoint sequence (BPS) of the intron results the bulging out of an unpaired adenosine, on the BPS, which initiates a nucleophilic attack at the intronic 5' splice site, thus starting the first of two transesterification reactions that mediate splicing.
Source: Ensembl
GCUUCUUCUCGGCCCUUUUGGCUAAGAUCAAGUGUAGUAUCUGUUCUUAUCAGUUUAAUAUCUGAUAUGUCCUCUAUCAGGGGACUAUAUAUUAAAUGCAUUUUUGCAGACAGGAGCUGAAACAGGAGCUUGCUCCAUUCACUCCACGCAUUGGCCCAGUAUUGCAGUCUAGCUGGGAGUGGUGCGCCUUCU